GACGAACGCUGGCGGCGUGCUUAACACAUGCAAGUCGAGCGGUAAGGGCCCUUUCGGGGGUACACGAGCGGCGAACGGGUGAGUAACACGUGGGUGACCUGCCCUCAGCUCUGGGAUAAGCCUGGGAAACUGGGUCUAAUACUGGAUAUGACUCCACGGUGCAUGUCGUGGGGUGGAAAGCCUUGUGCGGCUGAGGAUGGGCCCGCGGCCUAUCAGCUUGUUGGUGGGGNGAUGGCCUACCAAGGCGACGACGGGUAGCCGGCCUGAGAGGGCGGACCGGCCACACUGGGACUGAGACACGGCCCAGACUCCUACGGGAGGCAGCAGUGGGGAAUCUUGCGCAAUGGGCGAAAGCCUGACGCAGCGACGCCGCGUGAGGGAUGACGGCCUGGUGU
This 395-nucleotide ribosomal RNA is filed under the name uncultured bacterium. Its description in RNAcentral is "bacterial SSU rRNA". It matches the Rfam family "Bacterial small subunit ribosomal RNA", at positions 28 to 422 of the family's 1533-position model. The record is from RNAcentral.